ACUAAGGUAGCGUAAUUAUUUGUCUUUUAAUUGAAGACUGGUAUGAAGGGUUUAACUUGAUUUUUUGUUUGUUAAGUUAAAUAGAAAAUUAAAGUCAUGGUAAGAAUUCUUUGAUCUUUUAGGGGACGAUAAGACCCUAAAAGCUUUAUAAAUGUGGUUUUAUUAGUGAUAUAAAGUAUUUUAUUUUACUGGGGCGGUAAAAGUUAAUUUGCUAUGUGGUUAGAAUGUGAUCCUGUAUAUGAGGCGAUGUUGGUGAAGUUACUUUAGGGAUAA
RNAcentral lists this ribosomal RNA (273 nucleotides) under Gammarus sp. Gsp10b. RNAcentral describes it as "partial 16S ribosomal RNA". The record is from RNAcentral. Lineage: Eukaryota; Metazoa; Arthropoda; Malacostraca; Amphipoda; Gammaridae.